CCUACGGGUGGCAGCAGUGAGGAAUAUUGGUCAAUGGGCGUAAGCCUGAACCAGCCAAGUCGCGUGAGGGAUGAAGGUUCUAUGGAUCGUAAACCUCUUUUAUAAGGGAAUAAAGUGCGGGACGUGUCCCAUUUUGUAUGUACCUUAUGAAUAAGGAUCGGCUAACUCCGUGCCAGCAGCCGCGGUAAUACGGAGGAUCCGAGCGUUAUCCGGAUUUAUUGGGUUUAAAGGGUGCGUAGGCGGCCUUUUAAGUCAGCGGUGAACGUCUGUGUCUCAACCAUAGACUUGCCGUUGAAACUGGGAGGCUUGAGUAGGUUUGAGGCAGGCUGAAUGCGUGGUGUAGCGGUGAAAUGCGUAGAGAGAACGCAGAACCCCGAGUGCGAAGGCAGCCUGCCAAGCCAUGACUGACGCUGAUGCACGAAAGCGUGGGGAUCAAACAGGAUUAGAUACCCGGGUAGUC
Molecule: ribosomal RNA, 460 nt
Filed under: uncultured bacterium
Lineage: Bacteria
Description: partial 16S ribosomal RNA
Rfam family: Bacterial small subunit ribosomal RNA
Source: RNAcentral